Molecule: ribosomal RNA, 468 nt
Filed under: uncultured bacterium
Lineage: Bacteria
Description: partial 16S ribosomal RNA
Rfam family: Bacterial small subunit ribosomal RNA
Source: RNAcentral
GACGAACGCUGGCGGCGUGCUUAACACAUGCAAGUCGAACGGAAAGGCCCUGCUUUUGUUGGCUGCUCGAGUGGCGAACGGGUGUGUAACACGUGAGUAACCUGCCCUUGACUUUGUGAUAACUUCAGGAAACUGGGGCUAAUACCUGAUCGGAGCUCCUGCUGCAUGGUGGUGGUUGGAAAGUUUCGGCUGUUGGGGAUGGACUCGCGGCUUAUCAGCUUGUUGGUUGGGUAGUGGCUUACCAAGGCUUUGACGGGUAGCCUGCCUGAGAGGGUGAACGGCGACAAUGGGACUGAGAUACGGACCAGACGCGUACGGGAGGCAGCAGGGGGGAAUAUUGCACAAUGGGCGGAAGCCUGAUGCAGAAACGCCGGGUGCGGGAUGAAGGCCUUCGAGUUGAAAACCGCUUUCGCCUGUGACGAAGCGUGAGUGACGGUAAUGGGUAAAGAAGCACCGGCUAACUACGUG